Molecule: transfer RNA, 72 nt
Filed under: Patescibacteria group bacterium
Lineage: Bacteria
Description: tRNA-Ala
Rfam family: tRNA
About the family: Transfer RNA (tRNA) molecules are approximately 80 nucleotides in length.
Source: RNAcentral
GGGGGCGUAGCUGAGAUGGAUUAGCGACAGACUUGCAAUCUGUAAAGGCGGGAUCGUUAUCUGUCGCCUCCA